This 73-nucleotide transfer RNA is filed under the name Felis catus (domestic cat). It matches the Rfam family "tRNA". From Rfam's summary of the family: Transfer RNA (tRNA) molecules are approximately 80 nucleotides in length. Their secondary structure includes four short double-helical elements and three loops (D, anti-codon, and T loops). The record is from Rfam by way of RNAcentral. Lineage: Eukaryota; Metazoa; Chordata; Mammalia; Carnivora; Felidae.
ACCUGGUAGGCUUAGUUGGAAGAACAUGUGACUCUUGAUCUCGGGGUCAUGGGUUCGAGUCCCACAUUGGGUG